UUUCCGUAGGUGAACCUGCGGAAGGAUCAUUAUUGAAUGAACUUGGCAUGAUUGUAGCUGGUCCUCUCGAGGGCAUGUGCACAUCUGUCAUCUUUAUCUUUCCACCUGUGCACCAAUUGUAGGUCUAAAAAAUUUUCCCCGAGACACUCGGGGGAGCAUGGGGCGUUGCUGUGUGUUACCACCAGCUUGCCCUGCAUUUUCUAGAUCUAUGUUUUCACAUACACCAUAAAAUGUAAUAGAAUGUUAUUAUUGGGCUUUUAUUGCCUAUAAACUAUAUACAACUUUCAGCAACGGAUCUCUUGGCUCUC
This 308-nucleotide unclassified non-coding RNA is filed under the name plant metagenome. RNAcentral's name for it is "partial contains small subunit ribosomal RNA, internal transcribed spacer 1, and 5.8S ribosomal RNA". The record is from RNAcentral.